Long non-coding RNA from Eriocheir sinensis (Chinese mitten crab), 2285 nucleotides. RefSeq lists it as uncharacterized. Lineage: Eukaryota; Metazoa; Arthropoda; Malacostraca; Decapoda; Varunidae. The record is from RefSeq and is a predicted model, not a curated record. The transcript has 3 exons.
GAGAGAGAGAGAGAGAGAGAGAGAGAGAGAGAGAGAGAGAGAGAGAGAGAGAGAGAGAGAGAGAGAGAGAGAGAGAGAGAGAGAGAGAGAAUCAUUGUCAAUAGUAAACAUAAACCGUUGGGUUCGUUGCCUGUAUGGAAGGGUGUGUAAAAUUGUGGGCAUAUGCUGAGCUGCGUCUUGCCUCGGCUUCAUUUCCGCCUCCUUAGCCUCUGAGUCGGGUAAGGAACACAAGACGCAGUUGCUUGCGUGCCGAUUGAUUUAAUUUCUGAGGAUUUCCCUUCAGGACGCAUGCACGCAGGCACCCUUCGUGUUCAGAGCAAUAUCAGCGGCAUCGAUCAUCUUCCCCUUCACGUGUUCUGUAUAAGCUUUCUCUUUCUUCCAGUCGCUUGCAGCGAUGUGCAGGAUCGACCUCCGGGAACCGUGUCGCAUGUUAGGGUAGUCGACCUUUGAUGAUAACAGGCUACGUGUCUUUGUCGACUCGUGUAGUGGGGAUUUCAUGAUUUCAUGCCCGGCUGGUUAAAUCUUGCCCUGGAAAUGGAAGUGUUCGAAGGCUGUUUUCGUAACGGGAAGGCGGUGCAGCAAGAGUGUUUUCGUAUUAGCAAGGCAGUGUAAUGAUAUGUUUGUCAUGGCUGCAGUACGAAGGCGGCAAGCGGAAUAAAUGAGCGUAUGAGUCGUGUCCUCUUUUCCUCGUCACGAACCGAGCAAUAUUUUGAAACGCUCCGAAGCUCCGAGGCAACAACUGUAUCCAGCCGUUCACACCGAAGACGUGAAGAGAAACAUCACAGAAAGCUUUAUACCUUAUUAUUUCAACCUAAAAAAAAGACAAUUAUGUGGAAUACGCAUGUGCUUUAUUUUAUUUGCAGUGAUCAAAGUAUGUGAAAAUCCAAUUAAAUAUUACCGGACCGCCUCAUAAUCCACUUAAGAGCACAAACUCUUAGAAAAGUAGCAAACAGCAACAACAAACAAGAAUACGAACUGACAAAACACGCACUGACUAUACUGCUAUUAAUUUGUCAAGAUGUAAAUUACUUUGAAAUCUAACAGAAAUGAAACCCUAAUCGUGAAUAGGUCUUAAAAUUCUAAUGUAUCCAACAAAAAUCGUGUUGGAACGUCUCAACUUGAACCUCAGUGCGUACAGUCUUUGCAAACCGGCGAACAGGGAAGAAAAUGGAGAGAGGUGUGUGCUUGUGUGUGUCUGAGCUGGGAACAAAGUGUUAGGUGAAAGAAGGAAGGAACACAUGAGAUUAAAUUCAGGUAAGGCUGUUCUGUCCGAGCUAUGUGUUACUAUUUUCAGUACACCGUGAAAGAGAGAAAAGACAAUAGUGAAGGAAGAAACACGAGUUGGGGAGUCCGAGUAAGGCUGAGAAUGGCGGCGUUGUUAAGUAAAUCCUCAUUCACCAAGCGUAGGGGGAAUGGAGAGAAUACUAUCCAUACAAACCCUAUGACAUACCGUUUUUCGCAAAUAUCUUUCAAACGAAGACUCGAUGCAAACACCAGUCACAUCUCCGUCACAGUUUCCCUUUCUCCAUACAGGGUGGCGGCAGUGCCCUCCCAUGUGACUGCGAGACGUGCAUCUACUAAGACGAGCUGCUGACUUUGAAGGCGUGAACACCAGGCGCGACGCUUUACACUCUGGGAAACUUGAUCUUUUCCUCUGUACUCUUCUGAAUGAAGGAAGGAGAACAUACAAGAGUGUGACAUAAAACUACACACUGAUCGUUUUCACGUUUCAGCGCAGAGCAGCGGGAGGUGAUCAGCAGGAAGCCAAGUUUUGAUGUCGAAGGCGGAGCGCGGGGAGGGGUGUUCGACCCUAAUGUAUCCAGGCCAACCGAGGCAGGCAUGCCAUUGUAUUGACCCGGGAGCGCCUUCACCCGGACCGGCCGGAAUAAUUCAUGGAAGCCCAAACGCUGUUAUCCGGCCUGCGGCACCGCUCGCCCAUGGGGAUUAAGGCGGCUGUGCUGUUUAUAUAUUUCAUGCUAAUUAGUAAUCUACAUUAGAUAUGUUUACCGCUAUAUAAGUUUGUAUAUAGACAUAUCUAUCUAUUAUCUACCUACCUAUAUCUAUAUAGAUAAAAAAAAAGAUAAAUAUAGAUCGACCGAUCGACAGAUAAAUAAACAGAUAGACAGAUGUAGAUAUACGUACACAUGUAUGUGUGUGUGUGUGUGUGUGUGUGUGUGUGUGUGUGUGUGUGUGUGUGUGUGUGUGUGUGUGUGUGUGUGUGUGUGUGUGUGAGAGAGAGAGAGAGAGAGAGAGAGAGAGAGAGAGAGAGAGAGAGAGAGAGAGAG